AGAGUUUGAUCGUGGCUCAGGAUGAACGCUGGCGGCGUGCCUAACACAUGCAAGUCGAGCGAUCUCUUCGGAGAGAGCGGCGGACGGGUGAGUAACGCGUGGGUAACCUGCCCUGUACACACGGAUAACAUACCGAAAGGUAUACUAAUACGGGAUAACAUAUNAAAGUCGCAUGGCUUUUGUAUCAAAGCUCCGGCGGUACAGGAUGGACCCGCGUCUGAUUAGCUAGUUGNUAAGGUAAUGGCUUACCAAGGCAACGAUCAGUAGCCGACCUGAGAGGGUGAUCGGCCACACUGGAACUGAGACACGGUCCAGACUCCUACGGGAGGCAGCAGUGGGGAAUAUUGCCAAUGGGCGAAAGCCUGAUGCAGCAACGCCGCGUGAAGCGAUGAAGGCCUUCGGGUCGUAAAGCUCUGUCCUCAAGGAAGAUAAUGACGGUACUUGAGGAGGAAGCCCCGGCUAACUACGUGCCAGCAGCCGCGGUAAUACGUAGGGGGCUAGCGUUAUCCGGAAUUACUGGGCGUAAAGGGUGCGUAGGUGGUUUUUUAAGUCAGAAGUGAAAGGCUACGGCUCAACCGUAGUAAGCUUUUGAAACUAGAGAACUUGAGUGCAGGAGAGGAGAGUAGAAUUCCUAGUGUAGCGGUGAAAUGCGUAGAUAUUAGGAGGAAUACCAGUAGCGAAGGCGGCUCUCUGGACUGUAACUGACACUGAGGCACGAAAGCGUGGGGAGCAAACAGGAUUAGAUACCCUGGUAGUCCACGCCGUAAACGAUGAGUACUAGGUGUCGGGGGUUACCCCCCUCGGUGCCGCAGCUAACGCAUUAAGUACUCCCCCUGGGAAGUACGCUCGCAAGAGUGAAACUCAAAGGAAUUGACGGGGACCCCCACAAGUAGCGGAGCAUGUGGUUUAAUUCGAAGCAACCCGAAAAACCUUACCUAAGCUUGACAUCCCACUGACCUCUCCCUAAUCGGAAAUUUCCCUUCGGGGAAAGUGGUGACAGGUGGUGCAUGGUUGUCGUCACCUCGUGUCGUGAAAUUUUGGGUUAAGUCCCGCAACGAGCGCAACCCUUGCCUUUAGUUGCCAGCAUUAAGUUGGGCACUCUAGAGGGACUGCCGAGGAUAACUCGGAGGAAGGUGGGGAUGACGUCAAAUCAUCAUGCCCCUUAUGCUUAGGGCUACACACGUGCUACAAUGGGUGGUACCUGAGGGUUGCCAAGCCGCGAGGUGGAGCUAAUCCCUUAAAGCCAUUCUCAGUUCGGAUUGUAGGCUGAAACUCGCCUACAUGAAGCUGGAGUUACUAGUAAUCGCAGAUCAGAAUGCUGCGGUGAAUGCGUUCCCGGGUCUUGUACACACCGCCCGUCACACCAUGGAAGUUGGGGGCGCCCGAAGCCGGUUAGCUAACCUUUUAGGAAGCGGCCGUCGAAGGUGAAACCAAUGACUGGGGUGAAGUCGUAACAAGGUA
RNAcentral lists this ribosomal RNA (1461 nucleotides) under Paraclostridium bifermentans. RNAcentral describes it as "bacterial SSU rRNA". It matches the Rfam family "Bacterial small subunit ribosomal RNA". The record is from RNAcentral. Lineage: Bacteria; Bacillati; Bacillota; Clostridia; Peptostreptococcales; Peptostreptococcaceae.